Molecule: ribosomal RNA, 383 nt
Filed under: Anophryoides haemophila
Lineage: Eukaryota; Ciliophora; Oligohymenophorea; Philasterida; Glauconematidae
Description: partial Bacterial small subunit ribosomal RNA
Rfam family: Bacterial small subunit ribosomal RNA
Source: RNAcentral
ACUUAGCAGAGAUGCUUUGGUGCCUUCGGGAACUCUGAGACAGGUGCUGCAUGGCUGUCGUCAGCUCGUGUCGUGAGAUGUUGGGUUAAGUCCCGCAACGAGCGCAACCCCCGUCCUUAGUUGCUACCAUUUAGUUGAGCACUCUAAGGAGACUGCCGGUGAUAAGCCGCGAGGAAGGUGGGGAUGACGUCAAGUCCUCAUGGCCCUUACGGGCUGGGCUACACACGUGCUACAAUGGCGGUGACAAUGGGAUGCUAAGGGGCGACCCUUCGCAAAUCUCAAAAAGCCGUCUCAGUUCGGAUUGGGCUCUGCAACUCGAGCCCAUGAAGUUGGAAUCGCUAGUAAUCGUGGAUCAGCACGCCACGGUGAAUACGUUCCCGGGC